ACUCAAAUGAAUAGACGGGGGCCCGCACAAGCAGCGGAGCAUGUGGUUUAAUUCGACGCAACGCGAAGAACCUUACCUGGGCUUGACAUGUUCCUGACAGGUGUGGAAACACACUCUUCCUUCGGGACAGGAUCACAGGUGGUGCAUGGCUGUCGUCAGCUCGUGUCGUGAGAUGUUGGGUUAAGUCCCGCAACGAGCGCAACCCCCGUCGUAUGUUGCCAGCAUUUAGUUGGGGACUCAUACGAGACUGCCGGUGACAAACCGGAGGAAGGUGGGGAUGACGUCAAGUCAUCAUGCCCCUUAUGUCCAGGGCUACACACGUGCUACAUUGGCGCAUACAAAGGGCAGCGAUACCGCGAGGUGGAGCGAAUCCCAAAAAGUGCGUCUUGGUUCGGAUUGGAGGCUGAAACUCGCCUCCAUGAAGUCGGAGUUGCUAGUAAUCCCGGAUCAGCAACGCCGGGGUGAAUACGUUCCCGGGCCUUGUACACACCGCCCGU
Molecule: ribosomal RNA, 497 nt
Filed under: uncultured bacterium
Lineage: Bacteria
Description: partial 16S ribosomal RNA
Rfam family: Bacterial small subunit ribosomal RNA
Source: RNAcentral